AUGCACUCUUGGUGCAGCUCUCGUUAGCGCGGCAAAGCAUUCCUCGAAACACUAUGAAGUCUGCUUACCUUUUCGCCUUAACUUUCUUUUUACUUUGUACUACAUGCUUCGGGAUGCAAGCCUUCUCUUCUGAUGAAUACGAAGGGUCUCCUUGUGACUGUACAAGCCAUGAAGCUAAUAAAGCAUGCCCCGGCAAAUGCGCCUGCUGGCCAAGAGGGGAUACGCCAGAUGGACCUACGUGCAUUGAAAGGCCGAAGAAAAAUUAGGGAGGCAAGCACAUGACGACGCAAGCCCUUCAUAAGCGUGGCAAGGGCUCUCGAAGAAUAAAGGCUUUUU
Long non-coding RNA from Dermacentor silvarum, 336 nucleotides. RefSeq lists it as uncharacterized. The transcript is spliced from 3 exons. The record is from RefSeq and is a predicted model, not a curated record. NCBI's taxonomy places the organism in Eukaryota, Metazoa, Arthropoda, Arachnida, Ixodida, Ixodidae.